CACGUAGUUAGCCGGGGCUUCUUACUCAGGUACCGUCAUUUAUUCUUCCCUGCUGAUAGAGCUUUACAUAACGAAUUACUUCUUCACUCACGCGGCGUCGCUGCAUCACGGGUUCCCCCCAUUGUGCAAUAUCCCCCACUGCUGCCUCCCGUAGGAGUCUGGGCCGUGUCUCAGUCCCAAUGUGGCCGUCCGCCCUCUCAGGCCGGCUACUGAUCGUCGCUUUGGUAGGCCGUUACCCUGCCAACUGGCUAAUCAGACGCGGGCCCAUCGUAUACCGUCUCGGCUUUUCACACUCCAGUAUGCACUGCUGUGCGCUUAUGCGGUAUUAGCACCUAUUUCUAAGUGUUAUCCCCCUGUAUACGGUAGGUUGCCCACGCGUUACUCACCCGUCCGCCACUAAGAUACAUUUUCCUUUCAGACGAAUCCUCAUUCCAAUAUACUCCCCGUUCGACUUGCAUGUGUUAGCACGCCGCCAGCGUUCAUCCUGA
Molecule: ribosomal RNA, 488 nt
Filed under: uncultured Butyrivibrio sp.
Lineage: Bacteria; Bacillati; Bacillota; Clostridia; Lachnospirales; Lachnospiraceae
Description: partial 16S ribosomal RNA
Source: RNAcentral